Molecule: ribosomal RNA, 255 nt
Filed under: uncultured bacterium
Lineage: Bacteria
Description: partial 16S ribosomal RNA
Rfam family: Bacterial small subunit ribosomal RNA
Source: RNAcentral
UACAGAGGGUGCGAGCGUUGUCCGGAAUCACUGGGCGUAAAGGGGCGCGUAGGUGGCGCUGCAAGUCGGUGGUGAAAGCUCGUCGCUCAACGACGAGUCGGCCAUCGAAACUGCAGGGCUCGAGCACUGUAGGGGCAGAUGGAAUUCCGGGUGUAGCGGUGGAAUGCGUAGAGAUCCGGAAGAACACCAGUGGCGAAGGCGGUCUGCUGGGCAGUAGCUGACACUGAGGCGCGACAGCGUGGGGGAGCAAACAGG